This 437-nucleotide ribosomal RNA is filed under the name uncultured bacterium. RNAcentral's name for it is "bacterial SSU rRNA". It matches the Rfam family "Bacterial small subunit ribosomal RNA", at positions 29 to 453 of the family's 1533-position model. The record is from RNAcentral.
AACGAACGCUGGCGGCGUGGAUAAGACAUGCAAGUCGAACGGGUUUUCAUUUGUAGCAAUACAGGUGGGAAUCAGUGGCGCAAGGGUGCGUAACACGUGGGCAACCUGCCCUGGAGACUGGGAUAGCCCGCCGAAAGGCGGAUUAAUACCGGAUGCGGCUACCAAAGGACUCUUUGGGACGCUAAAGGUGGCGCAAGCUACCGCUCUUGGAUGGGCCCGCGGCCUAUCAGCUAGUUGGNGAGGUUACGGCUCACCAAGGCGAUGACGGGUAGCUGGUCUGAGAGGACGACCAGCCACACUGGAACUGAGACACGGUCCAGACACCUACGGGUGGCAGCAGUCGAGAAUUUUUCUCAAUGGGGGAAACCCUGAAGGANCGACGCCGCGUGGAGAUGAAGUCUUCGGAUUGUAAACUCCUGUCAUUGGUGAACAAGAUU